RNAcentral lists this ribosomal RNA (449 nucleotides) under uncultured bacterium. RNAcentral describes it as "partial 16S ribosomal RNA". It matches the Rfam family "Bacterial small subunit ribosomal RNA", at positions 29 to 523 of the family's 1533-position model. The record is from RNAcentral.
AGCGAACGCUGGCGGCAGGCCUAACACAUGCAAGUCGAACGAACUCUUCGGAGUUAGUGGCGGACGGGUGAGUAACACGUGGGAACGUGCCUUUAGGUUCGGAAUAACUCAGGGAAACUUGUGCUAAUACCGAAUGUGCCCUUCGGGGGAAAGAUUUAUCGCCUUUAGAGCGGCCCGCGUCUGAUUCGCUAGUUGGUGGGGUACUGGCUCACCAAGGCUACGAUCAGUAGCUGGUCUGCGAGGAUGACCAGCCACAUUGGGAAUGAGAAACGGCCCAAACUCCUCCGGGAGGCAGCAGUGGGGAAUCUUGCGCAAUGGGCGAAAGCCUGACGCAGCCAUGCCGCGUGGAUGAUGAAGGUCUUAGGAUUGUAAAAUCCUUUCACCGGUGAAGAUAAUGACUGUAGCCGGAGAAGAAGCCCCGGCUAACUUCGUGCCAGCCGCCGCGGUAA